UUCAGGACUUCUCUGUUCACCAGCUCACAAUGAGAUUCCCUGCUCAGCUACUGGGGCUGCUAAUGCUCUGGCUCCCUGGAUCCAGUGGGGAUAUUGUGAUGACCCAGACUCCACUCUCCCUGCCUGUUACCCCUGGAGAGCCGGCCUCCAUCUCCUGCAGGUCUAGUCAGAGUCUCCUGCAUACUAAUGGAUACACCUAUUUGGAGUGGUACCUGCAGAAGCCAGGCCAGUCUCCACAGCUCCUGAUCUAUUUAGUUUCCAACCGGGCCUCUGGAGUCCCAGACAGGUUCAGUGGCAGUGGCUCAGGGACAGAUUUCACACUGAAAAUCAGCAGAGUGGAGGCUGAGGAUAUUGGGGUUUAUUAUUGCAUGCAAAGUACACAAGCUCCUCCCACAGUGAUACAACCCCGAACAGAAACCUCCCUGCUGGGGUGGCCCAGCUGCCCACACGUGCUGCUUGUCUGGGCAGCAGCUCAGCAGGUUCUCUGAAUCUGUGUAAGAGAAAGAUGCUGGAGGGCUAGGGAAUAGUUUGCACCCAGGGUUUCUGGAUCAUGAGCACUUCAGCUACACCUUGAGGAUAGCCUGUUUAUGUCCCUGUCAGCUCAAACAGCCUUGAUUGGUAUAAGCAGCAGGGUAAUGAGGAGGUCCAAGUGACCUCUGAGUAAACAAACAUAAUGGAGAGGAGAGAUUAUUGAAAAUCUUACCAUAAUCCUCUCCCCUUGCCUGCAUUUGUUAACUUUUAUCAGCAAAAUAGGAAAUUGACACAUAUCUGGCAAUACAUGAAUACAUCUGGGGGAUUAACAGUAUUUUGUAUAUUUUUAAGAGGAUGUUUAGUAAAAUUCAACAUUGGUAUUUUCCCACUUUUCUAAAUUCUUACUUCUAUUUCUUACUUAUCUUCCACAAUAUGAAUAUAAUAGAGACAGUAUUUUACCUUAGUUAUCCUAAGGGAGUAUUGGCUAAGAACAAUUAGUAAAAAUCUUGGUUUAUGAUUGUCAGAUAAAUUUUGUAAUUUCAUAGAAGGUGCAAGAUGCUAAUGCUGAAAUUCUUUCAUUAGACUCAUUUUCUCUUGCUAAUAGAAAAAGUGAGUUAUUGAAAUUCCAAAUGUUGAUUUUAAAAAUAAUAAGCAUAUACCUAAAGAUGUACAGCAUAGAAUUUUCCCCCUAGACCACUAGGACAUACAGAAUAAUAUGAAGUUUUUUUUUUUUUACCAAACUUAGGAAUUUAAGAUGGGCAGACAGCAGGAAUGGGAGCAUGAAGAGAAUGCAGGAGGGGUCAGCUAUUGGUCAAUUAAACUUCUCUCGGCCUGUGUCCCCCAUGCUACGAACUGAAUUGUGUUCUCAAAUUCAUGCUGAAGCCUUAAUCCUCAAAGCUUCUAUAGGAGAUAGGGCUUAUAAAGACGUCAUUGAGGUCAUAAGGGUGGUCUCUGAUCUUAUAGGAUAGAGGUCUCAACAGAUCCAGAGAGCUCUCCUUUUUCCUCUCUCUCUAACGUCUCUUUCUUCUAUGGAAAGGUCAUGUGAAAGCAUAGUGAGAAGGUGGCAUCUGCAAGCCAGGAAGCUUCUCACCAGAAAAUGAGCCCUGCUGGACCUUGAUAUUGGAGUUUCCAGCCACCAGAAAUAUGAAAAUAAAUGUCUGUGGUUUAAGCCACCCAGCGUAGGGUCCUUCGGUGUAGCAGUGCGAGACGUGUCAUCCACUCUCACCCUUUGAGCAGGAUCAGCCUCCGGAGGCACCUGAUAGACAUGGGGGUACAUUUCUUCCUGCUGCAGGGGUUCUCUUUCUGCUGCCAUCUGAUUCUCUGGUGAGAAA
Molecule: non-coding RNA, 1802 nt
Organism: Cebus imitator (Panamanian white-faced capuchin)
Lineage: Eukaryota; Metazoa; Chordata; Mammalia; Primates; Cebidae
Source: the annotation of a RefSeq genome assembly